CACAGGAACUCAUAGCAUGCAGGAUCACUUCUGGGCACCUGCCAGUACUCCAGUGCUCCUCUAGGGCCUCCUUGGGUUCCUGUCCUCCUGGUCAGCCUGUCCCCUGAGAAUCUGAAGAGAAGUGAGACAGCUCCUGAGGUUACAGCCAGCCAGCAGAGGCCAAGGCUCCAACACUGAUGGGGCCUGAAUCCUGCCCCUUUGCUGGCCUGAGAAAAUCUCAGAUCAAGAGCUCAUAUCCCUGAUAUGGAACAGAAGGGCAUGAGGGGACCCACAUCUGGCCACACCUGCUCAAGGCUUCACAGCAAGGACAGUAAGAGGUGGCCAUAUUCAGAGCCUGGGUCCACUUCCCUCUGCCGAUCUCAAGCCGCCCCUCAGACCGAGACCCUCGCUUCUCUGACCCCUAGGCGUCGCAGCCGGCCACCAAGCCUGGGGCUUCCUCGGGUUGACUGCAGGUGUUGUACCGGAUUCUGCUAUGAGUGGGGGUGGAAAUGGGGGUGGGGGUCGUGAGGGUGG
This 513-nucleotide long non-coding RNA is filed under the name Macaca nemestrina (pig-tailed macaque). RNAcentral's name for it is "lncRNA (ENSMNEG00000045604.1)". The record is from RNAcentral. Lineage: Eukaryota; Metazoa; Chordata; Mammalia; Primates; Cercopithecidae.